This 290-nucleotide ribosomal RNA is filed under the name uncultured prokaryote. Its description in RNAcentral is "partial 16S ribosomal RNA". It matches the Rfam family "Bacterial small subunit ribosomal RNA", at positions 524 to 815 of the family's 1533-position model. The record is from RNAcentral.
GACGAACUGUUCUAACGUUAUUCGGAAUCACUGGGCUUAAAGGGCGCGUAGGCUGUUUGUUAAGCGGGGUCUGAAAUCCCUCGGCUCAACCGAGGAACUGGGCUUCGAACUGGCAGACUAGAGUGAAGUAGGGGUAAGCGGAACUUGCGGUGGAGCGGUGAAAUGCUUUGAUAUCGCAAGGAACACCGGCGGCGAAGGCGGCUUACUGGGCUUCAACUGACGCUUAAGCGCGAAAGCUAGGGUAGCGAACGGGAUUAGAUACCCGGGGUAGUCCCUGAGCGGGCUGGCAA